This 2144-nucleotide long non-coding RNA is filed under the name Homo sapiens (human). RNAcentral describes it as "HSALNT0039568". Lineage: Eukaryota; Metazoa; Chordata; Mammalia; Primates; Hominidae. The record is from RNAcentral.
CUUUGAACACUUCAAUUAAGACCACAAUGUUCUUUGGCCCUGGUAGCUUUGUUCUGCCUUUCCUCCUCCCCCAUCUUCCUGGAAUGUGUGGGCUGGAGAGAGGAACAUAAAGGGAAACAAAAGGAAAGAGUUGUCCUGUCCACUGAAGCCCGAGGUUGGGCAAGGCCCCUACAUAAUGCACAGAGGACACCCACAACCAGCCUUCAGCAUCUGGGGUGACCUGCUCCAAACACCUCUCCGCUCGGGUGCCCAGCCCCACCCCUCCCCUGGAGCAAGGGACAGUCCCAGUCCACAUCUCACUUGCUCCUCAGCAGCAGUGGACAAGCUGGACCCUUCCUCCUCCUGGAAGUGAGCCACUCUUCAGCAUCUAGAGAGCAGCUCCUCUCCUGCGAGCCCGUGCCAGCCAGCUGCUUGGGAAGGAAACCCAUCCUAGGACAGUCAGCUCUGGCAGCGGACCUGGGAGGCCGACUCCAAAGGCAGAUGUUGGAGCCGGCUCUCUGACCAGCCCGGGGGCAAUGGAGACCCGCCACUCCUGGGAGAUGGAGACUGGAGAGCUCUGGGUGCUGCCAAGGCAUAAAAGGGGACACAGCGUGCCUCGCCUCCGGAUGACUCAGCACCAGGCGCCAUCCUGGAAGUGGCGAGCAGCCCUCACCAGGCUCCCAACCUGCCAGCCCCUUGAUCCUGGACUUCCAGCCUCCAGAGCUGCCAGAGGAGACCUGUCUGUUCCUCAUCAGUUACCCAUCCUUGGGUGUUUUGUUGUAGCGACACUAAGCGACUGAGACAGACAGCCAGGACACUGAGGGCAAAGGCGCUCUAGAAAGCCAGUGGGUCCCUCGCCUGGUGUCAGGUGCUAAGGCACCGGCCAGAGGAGAGGGCGGUCCCUGGGAGGAAGGCCCUGCAACCUCAUGGCAAGGAUGGCCAGUCACGUUCCUGGGUCCUUCCCCAAAGGGGCAGCAGUGUGCCGGAGAAACAGGAAGGCCCAGGCCCCUCCAGGACUGUUGAGGGUGAUCCUGAGCACCUGAAGUGCCCCAGGCCCAGAGUAGCAGGGCUCUUCAUCUUCCUGGAGGGUGAGUCAGGCCUCCCCGCCCUGGCCCACUUGCCCAUGGGUCCUCAUCCAUGUGGGAUGAAGUCUGAAGACAUCACUGGGCCCUCCCAGCACCCCAGCCCAGGGCAGGACUGCGUGAGUGAUAAAUAAAGACGCCCUGGACCACCCUUGAUGAAGGCCAGCUCCCUCCCACCUUCUGGACUGCCACCUCCCCACUCUGCACCUUCACCCCCUCUCAAGAACCACAGCCUCUAGGGCCCACCUCUCUGCUUCUGAGGAAAGCAUUAGGGUGGGGACGUAGAUGGUCCCACCACUUGCAUUGUAAAAGACACACAGAGGGCAAUGCUGUAGUCUAAGAAAAGAUUUUCUAAUGGUGGAGUUUCUGGCAAAAAGGCAUGGCCAUCAUGAGGCAGUUAGUGCUGUUGGGCAAAGAAUUGCUUCCAUAUUUGUCUCAAAGCAUUAAAAUGGGCACCAAAUCAAUAUUUCUUUAAUAAAAAACACAAAAAUCUUGGCCUAUGCUCUCCCAACACACCCUGAGCAUGUCUCUAGCAUCACUAGAAUGCUAGAGGCAUUUGACUGCAUCUUGCCUGUUACCUGUUAACUUCUUGCUUCCCUCCCUCAAUUGUGAGCUCACUGAGGGCAGGGAUAGGACUGAAGUAUCCUCUGAAUCUUUAACCUCAGGCGCUUAGGGACAGGGGGAUGGGACGGAGAUGUGGCAGGCAGAGUCCAGCCUCCCCAGAGCCACCUCCCAGCCCUGCGCAUGUGCUUGGCAAGUCCCUGAUGGGAGCCCAGGCAAGGCUGGGGCUUGUGCGUGUCUCCCCUGCCAGGCUGUGAGCACCCGGGCAGGCUUGUCCAGGCCAGCCCAGCUGCUGCCUGACACCAGCCCAGGUCCUGGCCCCCAGAGAGUGCCUGGUGAAGUCUGUCUGGCUGAGGUCCGACACAAGGGGGUAAGGAAUUAUUUCCUUCCCUGAGGCUUCAUUUUGAAAAUAAAUUUAGUAACUUCUAAACAAAUCGUACUGACUCUCCCAGUUGUAUUUGUUUAGUUAAAUUAAUUCUAUUUUAAUAUUUCCAUUAGCCAUUUAAUUUAUUCUAAAACCUG